AUUGAACGCUGGCGGCAGGCCUAACACAUGCAAGUCGAACGGUAGCACAGAGAGCUUGCUCUCGGGUGACGAGUGGCGGACGGGUGAGUAAUGUCUGGGAAACUGCCUGAUGGAGGGGGAUAACUACUGGAAACGGUAGCUAGUACCGCAUAACGUCGCAAGACCAAAGAGGGGGACCUUCGGGCCUCUUGCCAUCAGAUGUGCCCAGAUGGGAUUAGCUAGUAGGUGGGGUAACGGCUCACCUAGGCGACGAUCCCUAGCUGGUCUGAGAGGAUGACCAGCCACACUGGAACUGAGACACGGUCCAGACUCCUACGGGAGGCAGCAGUGGGGAAUAUUGCACAAUGGGCGCAAGCCUGAUGCAGCCAUGCCGCGUGUAUGAAGAAGGCCUUCGGGUUGUAAAGUACUUUCAGCGGGGAGGAAGGCGAUAAGGUUAAUAACCUUGUCGAUUGACGUUACCCGCAGAAGAAGCACCGGCUAACUCCGUG
Molecule: ribosomal RNA, 488 nt
Filed under: uncultured bacterium
Lineage: Bacteria
Description: partial 16S ribosomal RNA
Rfam family: Bacterial small subunit ribosomal RNA
Source: RNAcentral